Adelges cooleyi (spruce gall adelgid) is the source of this 533-nucleotide long non-coding RNA. RefSeq lists it as uncharacterized. The record is from RefSeq and is a predicted model, not a curated record. Lineage: Eukaryota; Metazoa; Arthropoda; Insecta; Hemiptera; Adelgidae. The transcript is spliced from 3 exons.
UGCAUUGUAAACCAGAAGCAAACUAAUUGUGGAUGUCAGCAGGCACCGAUUAAGCAAAAAUAUUCCUGCUCGACCGCGGCAGAAUGUCCCAGCAAACCAAUCGUGUGUUGCCGCUCGUCGAUAAAAAACAAUUCGGAAUUUAAAACGUACUUCAAGAAAAUGUUAUCGAAAAAGAAUAGUUGUAGUAAAAAAUUAGAAGAACAUAAUCGAAAGUCACCCCUGAAUGUAUGCAGUCUACAGAAAAUGGGUUCUACUUGUCGUGUAGAUCAUACAGCGAUUAAAUGUGAAUGUUUGAAAAGCGGAGUAAGAUCAAUCAUAGUUCCUUGCCACUCGGGUAUUGUCCAGAAAAGGUCGUCAGCUUGUGGAGCAAACACCAUUUGUCAUCUUCGUUGAUGCAUAGAUAUUUUAACCAAGUCUUAACAUUUGUAAUCUCGAAAAAUACAUUCUAUCUAGUCCAUAUAUACAAUGUCUACUUAAAAAAAAAUUGUAAAAUCUGUAACGUUUAUCAAUUUAAUUGAUCGCCAUAAUUAAUA